AUUGAACGCUGGCGGCAUGCUUUACACAUGCAAGUUGAACGGUAACAGGUUAAGCUGACGAGUGGCGAACGGGUGAGUAAUGCAUCGGAACGUGCCCGGUCGUGGGGGAUAACGCAGCGAAAGCUGCGCUAAUACCGCAUACGAUCUGAGGAUGAAAGCGGGGGACCGUAAGGCCUCGCGCGAUCGGAGCGGCCGAUGUCAGAUUAGGUAGUUGGUGGGGUAAAGGCUCACCAAGCCAACGAUCUGUAGCUGGUCUGAGAGGACGGCCAGCCACACUGGGACUGAGACACGGCCCAGACUCCUACGGGAGGCAGCAGUGGGGAAUUUUGGACAAUGGGCGAAAGCCUGAUCCAGCAAUGCCGCGUGCAGGAAGAAGGCCUUCGGGUUGUAAACUGCUUUUGUACGGAGCGAAAAGGUCUCCUCUAAUACAGGGGGCUCAUGACGGUACCGUAAGAAUAAGCACCGGCUAACUACGUGCAGCCGCCGCCGUAA
RNAcentral lists this ribosomal RNA (492 nucleotides) under uncultured bacterium. Its description in RNAcentral is "partial 16S ribosomal RNA". It matches the Rfam family "Bacterial small subunit ribosomal RNA", at positions 30 to 523 of the family's 1533-position model. The record is from RNAcentral.